This 866-nucleotide ribosomal RNA is filed under the name uncultured bacterium. RNAcentral's name for it is "bacterial SSU rRNA". It matches the Rfam family "Bacterial small subunit ribosomal RNA", at positions 19 to 915 of the family's 1533-position model. The record is from RNAcentral.
CUGACUCAGGAUGAACGCUGGCGGCGUGCCUAACACAUGCAAGUCGAGCGAUCUCUUCGGAGAGAGCGGCGGACGGGUGAGUAACGCGUGGGUAACCUGCCCUGUACACACGGAUAACAUACCGAAAGGUAUACUAAUACGGGAUAACAUAUGAAAGUCGCAUGGCUUUUGUAUCAAAGCUCCGGCGGUACAGGAUGGACCCGCGUCUGAUUAGCUAGUUGGUAAGGUAAUGGCUUACCAAGGCAACGAUCAGUAGCCGACCUGAGAGGGUGAUCGGCCACACUGGAACUGAGACACGGUCCAGACUCCUACGGGAGGCAGCAGUGGGGAAUAUUGCACAAUGGGCGAAAGCCUGAUGCAGCAACGCCGCGUGAGCUGAUGAAGGCCUUCGGGUCGUAAAGCUCUGUCCUCAAGGAAGAUAAUGACGGUACUUGAGGAGGAAGCCCCGGCUAACUACGUGCCAGCAGCCGCGGUAAUACGUAGGGGGCUAGCGUUAUCCGGAAUUACUGGGCGUAAAGGGUGCGUAGGUGGUUUUUUAAGUCAGAAGUGAAAGGCUACGGCUCAACCGUAGUAAGCUUUUGAAACUAGAGAACUUGAGUGCAGGAGAGGAGAGUAGAAUUCCUAGUGUAGCGGUGAAAUGCGUAGAUAUUAGGAGGAAUACCAGUAGCGAAGGCGGCUCUCUGGACUGUAACUGACACUGAGGCACGAAAGCGUGGGGAGCAAACAGGAUUAGAUACCCUGGUAGUCCACGCCGUAAACGAUGAGUACUAGGUGUCGGGGGUUACCCCCCUCGGUGCCGCAGCUAACGCAUUAAGUACUCCGCCUGGGAAGUACGCUCGCAAGAGUGAUACUCAAAGGAAUUGACG